RNAcentral lists this long non-coding RNA (175 nucleotides) under Fukomys damarensis (Damara mole-rat). RNAcentral's name for it is "lncRNA (ENSFDAG00000026421.1)". Lineage: Eukaryota; Metazoa; Chordata; Mammalia; Rodentia; Bathyergidae. The record is from RNAcentral.
GUUGGGUUGUGCAGGAACUCAGGAGGCUGGACGCUGCAAAAAAGCUUGAGAGAAGAGGUGAUCUAAGGCAUCUCCCCAAAAAUCUCUUUUCUCCAUAAGAUAUGAAAUAGAGAAAUUGCUGGUGACAUUUUCCAAUAUGGCACAACAACUGGUGAGUUUGGGAAGUGAUAAUGUA